UGGGGAAUUUUGGACAAUGGGGGAAACCCUGAUCCAGCCAUCCCGCGUGUGCGAUGAAGGCCUUCGGGUUGUAAAGCACUUUUUGCAGGAAAGAAACGUCAUGGGUUAAUACCCCGUGAAACUGACGGUACCUGCAGAAUAAGCACCGGCUAACUACGUGUCAGCAGCCGCGGUAAUACGUAGGGUGCAAGCUUUAAUCGGAAUUACUGGGCGUAAAGCGUACGCAGGCAGUUCGGAAAGAAAGAUGUGAAAUCCCAGAGCUCAACUUUGAAACUGCAUUUUUAACUCCCGGGCUAGAGUGUGUCAGAGGGAGGUGGAAUUCCGCGUAUAACAGUGAAAGGCGUAGAUAUGCGGAGGAACACCGAUGGCGAAGGCAGCCUCCUGAGAUAACACUGACGCUCAUGCACGAAAGCGUGGGGGGCAAACAAG
This 429-nucleotide ribosomal RNA is filed under the name Acidobacteriota bacterium. RNAcentral's name for it is "Acidobacteria bacterium partial 16S ribosomal RNA". It matches the Rfam family "Bacterial small subunit ribosomal RNA", at positions 355 to 776 of the family's 1533-position model. The record is from RNAcentral. Lineage: Bacteria; Pseudomonadati; Acidobacteriota.